UACGAAGGGGGCGAGCGUUGUUCGGAUUUACUGGGCGUAAAGGGCGCGCAGGCGGCUCAUUUUGUCAGGCGUGAAAGCCCCGGGCUUAACCUGGGAACUGCGUUUGAUACGGAUGGGCUAGAGUUCGGGAGAGGAGAGUGGAAUUCCCAGUGUAGAGGUGAAAUUCGUAGAUAUUGGGAAGAACACCGGUGGCGAAGGCGGCAUCCUGGACCGACAUUGACGCUGAGGCGCGAAAGCCAGGGGAGCAAACGGG
RNAcentral lists this ribosomal RNA (253 nucleotides) under uncultured bacterium. Its description in RNAcentral is "partial 16S ribosomal RNA". It matches the Rfam family "Bacterial small subunit ribosomal RNA", at positions 524 to 776 of the family's 1533-position model. The record is from RNAcentral.